RNAcentral lists this ribosomal RNA (448 nucleotides) under uncultured bacterium. RNAcentral's name for it is "SSU rRNA". It matches the Rfam family "Bacterial small subunit ribosomal RNA", at positions 26 to 518 of the family's 1533-position model. The record is from RNAcentral.
AGAGCGAACGCUGGCGGCAGGCCUAACACAUGCAAGUCGAGCGCGUGUAGCAAUACACGAGCGGCAGACGGGAGAGUAACACGUGGGAACGCGCCCUUCGGUUCGGAAUAACUCAGGGAAACUUGAGCUAAUACCGGAUACGCCCUUACGGGGAAAGAUUUAUUGCCGAAGGAACGGCCCGCGUCCGAUUAGCUAGUUGGUGAGGUAACGGCUCACCAAGGCGACGAUCGGUAGCUGGUCUGGGAGGAUGACCAGCCUCACUGGGACUGAGACACGGCCCAGACUCCUACGGGAGGCAGCAGUGGGGAAUAUUGGACAAUGGGCGCAAGCCUGAUCCAGCCAUGCCGCGUGGAUGAUGAAGGCCUUAGGGUUGUAAAGUCCUUUUAACGGGGAAGAUAAUGACGGUACCCGUAGAAUAAGCCCCGGCUAACUUCGUGCCAGCAGCCGC